RNAcentral lists this long non-coding RNA (390 nucleotides) under Physcomitrium patens. RNAcentral describes it as "long non-coding RNA (PPAT_LNC007137)". The record is from RNAcentral. Lineage: Eukaryota; Viridiplantae; Streptophyta; Bryopsida; Funariales; Funariaceae.
UUGUCUCAAUUCUAUUCAUGAUUUAGAGACAUAGUCAAAAAUUGUACUACCUUCCUCUCAUCUUCACUAUGAAUUCGUGCAUAAGUUGAACCAUCAUCAAGUACCUUUUUUCCAUUUGAGUUGCAAUAAUAUAUGGUUGUCUCAAAAUAAGAGGAUAAGAUGUUGUAUCUUGAACAAAAAAAAAUUACUCUAUUGCAACAUCACUAAUCUGAAUUUUCACAUCUGGGCAAGCACCAUAUAAUUCUCCUCGUGUAUUAUUGGCUAUCCAUAUUCUCCAUCCAUGCUCCAUAUCAAUUAGCCAUCUUCAUUCCAUAUAAAGAUCUUAAGACAUAAAGUUUACCUCUGAACCAUAGUCAAUCAAAGCAACAACAUGCUCGUCCAUAUCUCCAA